RNAcentral lists this small RNA (392 nucleotides) under Histoplasma capsulatum. RNAcentral's name for it is "hypothetical RNA". The record is from RNAcentral. RNAcentral also lists the same sequence under 1 other name. Lineage: Eukaryota; Fungi; Ascomycota; Eurotiomycetes; Onygenales; Ajellomycetaceae.
CCCCUAUUCUAUUUCUGUGCCCAUCUCCCAUCUCAACAUCCUCAUUUCCAGCCUUUCUGCCCAGGAAAUUGGAUCGAAGCUAAGUUCCAUCACAAUGUCUGUCAAAACCAUGGUGUUUCUGGCCACUAUGGUCUUUGCCAUCAUGGCAGCUGCUGCAAGUAAGUGUUUGUAAAGCUCUGUUUUCUUCAUCUCUGGCACUUUAUAUGUGUUACUCUCAUCCCCCCUAGUACCACCACCACAUCGUGGUUAAAGGACCACUAUGUAAAUCAAUGAAUUGCUGACAUUUGGAGUGGUCGUAGACCUCCCUCGUGAGGCUGCUGAGAAAGCUGUCGUUGACGUCGCUCGUGGGUUGGGCAACCAGGGUUUCCUUGGCAAGAUUGUUGCCCGUCAGA